UCGAGAAUCUUCCGCAAUGGACGCAAGUCUGACGGAGCGACGCCGCGUGCGGGAUGAAGGGCUUUGGCUUGUAAACCGCUGUCAGGUGUUAUGAAGGCGUAGGCGCUAAUACCGUCUGCGUUGACAAAGGCACCAAAGGAAGUCACGGCUAACUCUGUGCCAGCAGCCGCGGUAAUACAGAGGUGGCAAGCGUUGUUCGGUAUCACUGGGCUUAAAGGGCGCGUAGGCGGCGCAGUACGGUCUGGGUGAAAUCCCUCGGCUCAACCGAGGAAUUGCCUGGGCUACGGCUGUGCUAGACAGCAUCAGGGGAAGGUGGAACUCGCGGUGGAGCGGUGAAAUGCGUAGAUAUCGCGAGGAACGCCGGUGGCGAAAGCGACCUUCUGGGGUGCUUGUGACGCUGAGGCGCGAAAGCUAGGGGAGCAAACAGGAUUAGAUACCCUGGUAGUCCUAGCCGUAAACGAUGUUCAUUAGAUGUGGGAGGUAUCGACCCCUUCCGCGUCGAAGCUAACGCAUUAAAUGAACCGCCUGGGGAGUACGGCCGCAAGGUUG
This 549-nucleotide ribosomal RNA is filed under the name uncultured bacterium. RNAcentral's name for it is "bacterial SSU rRNA". It matches the Rfam family "Bacterial small subunit ribosomal RNA", at positions 355 to 896 of the family's 1533-position model. The record is from RNAcentral.